Long non-coding RNA from Nicotiana attenuata, 660 nucleotides. RefSeq lists it as uncharacterized. Lineage: Eukaryota; Viridiplantae; Streptophyta; Magnoliopsida; Solanales; Solanaceae. The transcript has 3 exons. The record is from RefSeq and is a predicted model, not a curated record.
AUUUGAGUUCCUUAAUGUGUUGCUUUUCCUGGUUAUGGUUCUUUAAGUGGUUUUAUUAAACUCCAUGGACGAUGUUUGUAAUUAGUGUCUAAAUGUGAUCAAGUGCUUUUCAACAUGAGGAGAUGCUUAAAAUGUUGUUAUGUUUGUAAUUUGGAUUUUAUCUCAUACAGCUAGUAACUUUAUUUCCUUCGUGAAGGUGGACUAAUGAACAAACAUGGACUCCUGCCGAAAUAAAUCAAUUGCUGGCAAAUUGACCUGCAAUUGAGGAAGCAACUGCAGUUUCAAAUGAACAAGGUUGUUGAACCCAGAUUUGCGACUUGAUCCUGACAUGUUAAGGUUCAGUGCACGUUCACCUGUAGAAGCUUCCUCUGCACAACAAGCUGUUGUUCAAGUAAACAGUCGACCAUCUGCUGGUAGUAACAAUCAAGGUGGAGUAGAUCAAGAAAUGGAUGAUGAAAACAAUGAAGAACUAGACCUUACUUGAGAAGAAUUUUGAAUUGUUUUAGAGGAAUGUUCUAGGAAUCUUUUGUUACCAACAUUUUUGAAACUUACUUACUCUCUUGAAAUGUACUAAACUUCUGCACUCAUGGGGUAGAACAUUUGCUUUAUGGAUAUUAUUUUCUUGAUGGAUAAUUUUAUAUUAUUAAUAGUUUCAUUUUA